UACAGAGGUCUCAAGCGUUGUCCGGAAUUACUGGGCGUAAAGAGCUCGUAGGUGGUUUGUCGCGUUGUCCGUGAAAACUCACAACUCAAUUGUGGGCGUGCGGGCGAUACGGGCAGACUGGAGUACUGCAGGGGAGACUGGAAUUCCUGGUGUAGCGGUGGAAUGCGCAGAUAUCAGGAGGAACACCGGUGGCGAAGGCGGGUCUCUGGGCAGUAACUGACGCUGAGGAGCGAAAGCGUGGGGAGCGAACAGG
This 253-nucleotide ribosomal RNA is filed under the name uncultured bacterium. Its description in RNAcentral is "partial 16S ribosomal RNA". It matches the Rfam family "Bacterial small subunit ribosomal RNA", at positions 524 to 776 of the family's 1533-position model. The record is from RNAcentral.